AUGUGCCUGGAGUUCGGCUCGUGCUUCGGCGGCCGCAGACGGGACGACUACGGCCGCAGCAGAGGGAACGCCAACUGGUCGGCGCCGGCGUACCAGCAGCCGCCCACCGUCGUCGUCCGCGAAGGCCGGCCAAAAGCCGACCACGGCGACGCUGCCGGCCAGGGCGGGUACGCCGACUGGCAAGACAAGGCUGGCAGCGAGACGCCGCAGAAGCUUCCCGCAUGGCAAAACAAGGUCGGCGACGACGCCGGCAACGGCGCAUACACAUACACGCCGCGCCCCCAUGAGGCUGCGGCUGAUCAUAGGGAGCACGCUGGCAUGGAUUGCCACCAGUACCCAACCACUACCGCCACUCUCGCAAGGUUUCACAAAAGGAGAACUGUUCACCCAUUAUAUUUCGUCACUGGUGUGACAUAG
RNAcentral lists this ribosomal RNA (417 nucleotides) under Triticum aestivum (bread wheat). RNAcentral describes it as "partial small subunit ribosomal RNA". The record is from RNAcentral. Lineage: Eukaryota; Viridiplantae; Streptophyta; Magnoliopsida; Poales; Poaceae.